Molecule: ribosomal RNA, 230 nt
Filed under: uncultured bacterium
Lineage: Bacteria
Description: partial 16S ribosomal RNA
Rfam family: Bacterial small subunit ribosomal RNA
Source: RNAcentral
GAUCCUGGCUCGAGGAUGAACGCUAGCUACAGGCUUAACACAUUCAAGUCGAGGGGCAGCAUGGUCUUAGCUUGCUAAGGCCGAUGGCGACCGGCGCACGGGUGAGUAACACGUAUCCAACCUGCCGUCUACUCUUGGACAGCCUUCUGAAAGGAAGAUUAAUACAAGAUGGCAUCAUGAGUUCACAUGUUCACAUGAUUAAAGGUAUUCCGGUAGACGAUGGGGAUGCG